AUUGAACGCUGGCGGCAGGCCUAACACAUGCAAGUCGAACGGUAGCACAGAGAGCUUGCUCUUGGGUGACGAGUGGCGGACGGGUGAGUAAUGUCUGGGAAACUGCCCGAUGGAGGGGGGAUAACUACUGGAAACGGUAGCUAAUACCGCAUAACGUCGCAAGACCAAAGUGGGGGGACCUUCGGGCCGUCACACCACUCGGAUGUGCCCACGAUGGGAGUUAGCUAGUUGGUUGG
Molecule: ribosomal RNA, 236 nt
Filed under: uncultured bacterium
Lineage: Bacteria
Description: partial 16S ribosomal RNA
Rfam family: Bacterial small subunit ribosomal RNA
Source: RNAcentral